This 482-nucleotide ribosomal RNA is filed under the name uncultured bacterium. RNAcentral describes it as "partial 16S ribosomal RNA". It matches the Rfam family "Bacterial small subunit ribosomal RNA", at positions 30 to 507 of the family's 1533-position model. The record is from RNAcentral.
AUUGAACGCUGGCGGCAUGCUUUACACAUGCAAGUCGAACGGUAACAGGCCGCAAGGUGCUGACGAGUGGCGAACGGGUGAGUAAUGCAUCGGAACGUGCCCAGUCGUGGGGGAUAACUACUCGAAAGAGUAGCUAAUACCGCAUACGAUCUAUGGAUGAAAGCGGGGGACCGUAAGGCCUCGCGCGAUUGGAGCGGCCGAUGUCAGAUUAGGUAGUUGGUGGGGUAAAGGCUCACCAAGCCAACGAUCUGUAGCUGGUCUGAGAGGACAACCAGCCACACUGGGACUGAGACACGGCCCAGACUCCUACGGGAGGCAGCAGUGGGGAAUUUUGGACAAUGGGCGCAAGCCUGAUCCAGCAAUGCCGCGUGCAGGAAGAAGGCCUUCUGGUUGUAAACUGCUUUUGUACGGAACGAAACGGCUCUGGUUAAUACCCGGGGCUAAUGACGGUACCGUAAGAAUAAGCACCGGCUAACUACGUG